AGUGAACGCUGGCGGUAGGCCUAACACAUGCAAGUCGAACGGCAGCACAGUAAGAGCUUGCUCUUACGGGUGGCGAGUGGCGGACGGGUGAGGAAUACAUCGGAAUCUACUUUUUCGUGGGGGAUAACGUAGGGAAACUUACGCUAAUACCGCAUACGACCUACGGGUGAAAGCAGGGGAUCUUCGGACCUUGCGCGAUUGAAUGCGCCGAUGUCGGAUUAGCUAGUUGGCGGGGUAAAGGCCCACCAAGGCGCCGAUCCGUAGCUGGUCUGAGAGGAUGAUCAGCCACACUGGAACUGAGACACGGUCCAGACUCCUACGGGAGGCAGCAGUGGGGAAUAUUGGACAAUGGGCGCAAGCCUGAUCCAGCCAUACCGCGUGGGUGAAGAAGGCCUUCGGGUUGUAAAGCCCUUUUGUUGGGAAAGAAAAGCAGCAGGUUAAUACCCCGCUGUUCUGACGGUACCCAAAGAAUAAGCACCGGCUAACUUCGUG
This 492-nucleotide ribosomal RNA is filed under the name uncultured bacterium. RNAcentral's name for it is "partial 16S ribosomal RNA". It matches the Rfam family "Bacterial small subunit ribosomal RNA", at positions 29 to 507 of the family's 1533-position model. The record is from RNAcentral.